RNAcentral lists this ribosomal RNA (486 nucleotides) under uncultured bacterium. Its description in RNAcentral is "bacterial SSU rRNA". It matches the Rfam family "Bacterial small subunit ribosomal RNA", at positions 30 to 507 of the family's 1533-position model. The record is from RNAcentral.
UGAACGCUAGCUACAGGCUUAACACAUGCAAGUCGAGGGGCAGCAUGACGGAAGCUUGCUUUCGUUGAUGGCGACCGGCGCACGGGUGAGUAACGCGUAUCCAACCUGCCCUUGUCCAUCGGAUAACCCGUCGAAAGGCGGACUAACACGAUAUGCAGUUCUCAGCAGGCAUCUAACGAGAACGAAAUGUGAAGGAGAAGGAUGGGGAUGCGUCUGAUUAGCUUGUUGGCGGGGUAACGGCCCACCAAGGCGACGAUCAGUAGGGGUUCUGAGAGGAAGGUCCCCCACAUUGGAACUGAGACACGGUCCAAACUCCUACGGGAGGCAGCAGUGAGGAAUAUUGGUCAAUGGGCGAGAGCCUGAACCAGCCAAGUAGCGUGCAGGAUGACGGCCCUAUGGGUUGUAAACUGCUUUUAUACGGGGAUAAAGUGAGCCACGUGUGGCUUAUUGCAGGUACCGUAUGAAUAAGGACCGGCUAAUUCCGUG